AGAAAGAGAGUGUGAGAGAAAGAGAGAGAGAGUGAACGGAAUAUGUCAUGUUGAUUAGUGACCAGCGCGUGUACAGAACGUUUGGGAUAUUUGGAGCGGUUUUAAAAUUGAUUAAUUGAUGCGGUGGUAGUAAUCUUUUUACACCUGGAUUGAACUCGUCGAUGCGCUCGGAUUAUGAGGAUAACUGGUGCGCAUGUUUAUGAAUCUCAAGGCGCCACAAUUUACCGUUGAGAAGCUGCAAUACUGCACUGGAGAAAAUAUCGAGGUAGCAAACACAAGCACAGUCAUCCAAGGUACUGUAGCCCUCAAAAUCUAGGAGAUAUGAGGGAACUCUGUAUCUGGUUUCUGAGCGUUUCCAUGCUUCUUCUGCUGCUGCUCAGG
This is a long non-coding RNA of Coregonus clupeaformis (lake whitefish), 381 nucleotides long. RefSeq lists it as uncharacterized. The transcript is spliced from 3 exons. The record is from RefSeq and is a predicted model, not a curated record. NCBI's taxonomy places the organism in Eukaryota, Metazoa, Chordata, Actinopteri, Salmoniformes, Salmonidae.